CCUACGGGUGGCAGCAGUGGGGAAUAUUGCGCAAUGGGGGCAACCCUGACGCAGCAACGCCGCGUGAUUGAAGAAGGCCUUCGGGUUGUAAAGAUCUUUAAUCGGGGACGAAUUUUGACGGUACCAGAAGAAUAAGCACCGGCUAACUACGUGACAGCAGCCGCGGUAAUACGGAGGGAGCAAGCGUUAUCCGGAUUUACUGGGUGUAACGGGAGUGUAGGUGGACAUGCAAGUCAGAAGUGAAAUCUGGGGGCUUAACCCCCAAACUGCAUUUGAAACUGCUAGUCUUGAGUGAAGUAGAGGCAGGCGGAAUUCCCGGUGUAGCGGUGAAAUGCGUAGAUAUUGCGAGGAACACCAGUGGCGAAGGCAGCCUGCUGGACUUUAACUGACACUGAGGCGCGAAAGCGUGGGGAGCAAACAGGAUUAGAUACCCUUGUAGUC
This 441-nucleotide ribosomal RNA is filed under the name uncultured bacterium. Its description in RNAcentral is "partial 16S ribosomal RNA". It matches the Rfam family "Bacterial small subunit ribosomal RNA", at positions 338 to 795 of the family's 1533-position model. The record is from RNAcentral.